RNAcentral lists this ribosomal RNA (471 nucleotides) under uncultured bacterium. RNAcentral's name for it is "bacterial SSU rRNA". It matches the Rfam family "Bacterial small subunit ribosomal RNA", at positions 60 to 524 of the family's 1533-position model. The record is from RNAcentral.
AGUCGAACGGCAGCACGGGAGCAAUCCUGGUGGCGAGUGGCGAACGGGUGAGUAAUAUAUCGGAACGUGCCCAAUCGUGGGGGAUAACGCAGCGAAAGCUGUGCUAAUACCGCAUACGCCCUACGGGGGAAAGCGGGGGAUUCGCAAGGACCUCGCGUUAUUGGAGUGGCCUAGGCCUGAUUAGCUAGUUGGUGAGGUAAAGGCUCACCAAGGCGACGAUCAGUAGCUGGUCUGAGAGGAUGAUCAGCCACACUGGAACUGAGACACGGCCCAGACUCCUACGGGAGGCAGCAGUGGGGAAUUUUGGACAAUGGGGGAAACCCUGAUCCAGCCAUUCCGCGUGAGUGAAGAAGGCCUUCGGGUUGUAAAGCUCUUUCAGGAGGGAAGAAACGGUCUUGGAUAAUACCUGAGACUAAUGACGGUACCUUCAGAAGAAGCACCGGCUAACUACGUGCCAGCAGCCGCGGUAAU